CGCCGCGGUUAUACGAGAGGCCCAAGUCGAUAAAAAGCGGCGUAAAGGGUGGUUAAGGAAUUUUUUAACUAGAGAAGAACGCUCUCCGAGCUGUUAUACGCCCACAAGAGUGUGAACCCCUACUGCGAAGGCGACUUUAUUUUACCUGAAUCCACGACAGCUCCGGCA
RNAcentral lists this ribosomal RNA (168 nucleotides) under Synodus kaianus (Gunther's lizard fish). Its description in RNAcentral is "partial 12S rRNA". Lineage: Eukaryota; Metazoa; Chordata; Actinopteri; Aulopiformes; Synodontidae. The record is from RNAcentral.